CGGCCCUUCACUAGGUAGACUUG
This 23-nucleotide microRNA is filed under the name Magallana gigas (Pacific oyster). RNAcentral's name for it is "Mgi-Mir-22-P1_5p* (star (passenger))". Lineage: Eukaryota; Metazoa; Mollusca; Bivalvia; Ostreida; Ostreidae. The record is from RNAcentral.